GACGAACCGUGCGAACGUUGUUCGGAAUCACUGGGCUUAAAGGGCGCGUAGGCGGGCGGUCAAGUCAGAGGUGAAAGCCCACGGCUCAACCGUGGAAGUGCCCCUGAUACUGAUCGUCUCGAGGGAGGUAGGGGCGUGCGGAACUUCCGGUGGAGCGGUGAAAUGCGUAGAUAUCGGAAGGAACACCGAUGGCGAAAGCAGCGCGCUGGAUCUCUACUGACGCUGAGGCGCGAAAGCCAGGGGAGCAAACGGG
Molecule: ribosomal RNA, 253 nt
Filed under: uncultured bacterium
Lineage: Bacteria
Description: partial 16S ribosomal RNA
Rfam family: Bacterial small subunit ribosomal RNA
Source: RNAcentral